RNAcentral lists this ribosomal RNA (433 nucleotides) under uncultured bacterium. Its description in RNAcentral is "partial 16S ribosomal RNA". It matches the Rfam family "Bacterial small subunit ribosomal RNA", at positions 29 to 507 of the family's 1533-position model. The record is from RNAcentral.
AACGAACGCUGGCGGCAUGCCUAACACAUGCAAGUCGAACGAGACCUUCGGGUCUAGUGGCGCACGGGUGCGUAACGCGUGGGAACCUGCCCUUAGGUUCGGAAUAACUCCCCGAAAGGGGUGCUAAUACCGGUUAAUGUCUUCGGACCAAAGAUUUAUCGCCUUUGGAUGGGCCCGCGUUGGAUUAGCUAGUUGGUAGGGUAAAAGCCUACCAAGGCGACGAUCCAUAGCUGGUCUGAGAGGAUGAUCAGCCACACUGGGACUGAGACACGGCCCAGACUCCGACGGGAGGCAGCAGUGGGGAAUAUUGGACAAUGGGCGAAAGCCUGAUCCAGCAAUGCCGCGUGAGUGAUGAAGGCCUUAGGGUUGUAAAGCUCUUUUACCCGGGAUGAUAAUGACAGUACCGGGAGAAUAAGCUCCGGCUAACUCCGUG